UAUUGUGAGCUCAUCCUACCCCAGUAUGAUCUCAUUUUAACUAAUUAUGUAAUAACUCUAUUUACAAAUAAGGUCAAAAUCUGAGGUUCUAGGGGUUAGAACUUCAACAUUUGAAUGGGGGAGAGGACACACUUCAACCCAUAACAUCUAGCUGUUGUUAUGUCUUGCAAGGUCAGCAGCAAAUGGCAGAGGGCCAAGGUUUCACUUUUAGAGUUGGUAUUGUGUUCCCAGGUGUGUGUAAAUUCCAGCCCGCAGAGAAAUCAACCAGGAUUACCACUUUUGACUCCAGCCUGAAGAAGCCCACCCUCCAACCUUGAAAAGCUACUGAGCAGAGUUGACUACCCUCAAACUCCACUUCCAUACUAGGUACCUGUACUAUGAAUGCCAGCUGUUGUCUCAAGGUCACCACGAAGCCAGGAAUGGAAACAGGGACACAAUGGUUCCACCAGCCGUCUUGAGAAACGCAGAUGAACCCAUGCUAAGAAUGGUGGUGCAAACAGAUAGAAGAAGCCUGGUUCUCGUAACUUAGUGGUGCUACCACAUCAGCCUGUGAUGUUCCAUCUCUAAGCAUUUUUUAACAUAAGGUACUAAACAUUCUGUGUUUAAAAUAUUUUCAAGCCUUGGCAACAUAGUGAGAUCCAGUCUCUGCCAAAAAAUUAAGAAUUUGUGA
Molecule: long non-coding RNA, 670 nt
Organism: Macaca mulatta (Rhesus monkey)
Lineage: Eukaryota; Metazoa; Chordata; Mammalia; Primates; Cercopithecidae
Source: RefSeq, a predicted model, not a curated record